Conger conger (European conger) is the source of this 610-nucleotide long non-coding RNA. RefSeq lists it as uncharacterized. The record is from RefSeq and is a predicted model, not a curated record. The transcript is spliced from 3 exons. Lineage: Eukaryota; Metazoa; Chordata; Actinopteri; Anguilliformes; Congridae.
AAAGAGUGAGGCCUGUGGUUUCAAGCAGAGGCACCAAUGAUACCAUUGAGGUGACAUGGACCUCUCCAUCUGGCAAUGUAGAACAAUACAUGGUCAACUUGAUCAGUGAUAAUGGAGAAAACCAAACAAAGGUUCUUAACUCCAGCUUUGAGUCACACUCAUUCAUUGGACUGACAGCUGGGAGAAACUACACAGUCGUAGUGACCACAAUCAGUGGACCCUUUGCUGAAGAAUCAGAGCCUGUUUCCAAUGCAACCUAUCCCAAUCCACCUGGAGCUAUUCUUGUAGAAGAGCAGACCACUGAUUUCAUUACUAUAAGUUGGGGUUUGCCCCAAGACAUGGACUUGGGCCAGUACAGUUUCAUCAUAGUCUAUCAAACUAAUGAAACCCAGACCGCAAACAAUAUGAUGACAUUGAAGAACUUGACAUCAGGGACUCUGUACAGCAUCUCUGUGGUAACCGUAGGGCCAAUGGGCUACCAGAGCACUCCAGUGACGGCAGAAAUCUCCACCAAGCCUGAAAGAGUGAGGCCUGUGGUUUCAAGCAGAGGCACCAAUGAUACCAUUGAGGUGACAUGGACCUCUCCAUCUGGCAAUGUAGAACAAUACAU